CUUCACCAAUAAUCCAAGAUGACUUCGAUCAUCCAGAGUGUACUCCUUCUACUUAUUAAAAAAGUUAACCGUAAGACAGCCUCAGGCAGGUUCUUCAGGAGGUAUCCAGAAGAAGGCACUGUUACCACAGGAGAUGACAGCUCCGUGCAUGCUAUUGCCCCUGAAGACCUUCCAGUGGGACAAGAUCUGGAGGUAGAAGACAGUGAUACUGACGAACCUGACACCGUGGAGGCCUAGGCUAAUGUGCGUGGUUGUGUCUUAGUUUGUAACAAAAGAAGUUUAAAAAGCAAAAAUACAAAUUAAAAAAUAGCUAGAAUAAGG
RNAcentral lists this long non-coding RNA (321 nucleotides) under Homo sapiens (human). RNAcentral's name for it is "non-protein coding lnc-ZCCHC17-1:2". Lineage: Eukaryota; Metazoa; Chordata; Mammalia; Primates; Hominidae. The record is from RNAcentral.